RNAcentral lists this ribosomal RNA (242 nucleotides) under uncultured Bifidobacterium sp. RNAcentral describes it as "partial 16S ribosomal RNA". It matches the Rfam family "Bacterial small subunit ribosomal RNA", at positions 95 to 339 of the family's 1533-position model. The record is from RNAcentral. Lineage: Bacteria; Bacillati; Actinomycetota; Actinomycetes; Bifidobacteriales; Bifidobacteriaceae.
GUGGCGAACGGGUGAGUAAUGCGUGACCGACCUGCCCCAUGCACCGGAAUAGCUCCUGGAAACGGGUGGUAAUGCCGGAUGCUCCAUCACACCGCAUGGUGUGUUGGGAAAGCCUUUGCGGCAUGGGAUGGGGUCGCGUCCUAUCAGCUUGAUGGCGGGGUAACGGCCCACCAUGGCUUCGACGGGUAGCCGGCCUGAGAGGGCGACCGGCCACAUUGGGACUGAGAUACGGCCCAGACUCC